CGGGGUGUGGCGCAGCUGGUAGCGUGCCUGUUUCGGGUACAGGAGGUCGUCGGUUCGAGCCCGGCCACCCCGACCA
This 76-nucleotide transfer RNA is filed under the name Candidatus Margulisiibacteriota bacterium. RNAcentral's name for it is "tRNA-Pro". It matches the Rfam family "tRNA". Rfam says of the family: Transfer RNA (tRNA) molecules are approximately 80 nucleotides in length. Lineage: Bacteria; Bacillati; Candidatus Margulisiibacteriota. The record is from RNAcentral.